Molecule: non-coding RNA, 292 nt
Filed under: Cryptosporidium parvum
Lineage: Eukaryota; Apicomplexa; Conoidasida; Eucoccidiorida; Cryptosporidiidae
Source: RNAcentral
CUUCUAUAAAAGACAGUAAAUUUUUACCUUGAAGCUCUGAAACAAUAAAUAUAUCAUUAUAAUUCACUACAACAUCAAUAAAAUGGGGCACAAACUUUGAAACUGAAGAUUUACUCAGAAUGUUAAGAUAAUUUGCUUCAAUUAUAGAGUUUCUUAAAUACUGAUCAUCCGACAAGCUUCCCAUAAGCCUUUUUAAACAAACUAACUUAAAUGAUAGCAAGUCAAGCCCAACAUAAACUUGGCCAAAAUUUCCUCUAUGUAAAACUUUAAUGAGUAAAAAUCGAUUUGAAAU